UCAUUUCCUUUAUCUUUCCUUUUCUUUUCUCUAUCGUUGUUAGGUUUCCUUUCCUCUAUCGCUGUUAGGUUUCCUUCGUCUCCCACCUCUUCUUCUUUCCUUUUCUCUUUGCAAUGUAACCAGGUUCUUCCCUCUCCACAGCAAGUAAGGAGAAGCUCAAAGGUAACCUAUUUAUUAUUUCUUCCCUCACCGCAGCACCGCAGGUAGCCUCGCCAGGCGACGAGGGUCGCCUCGCCAAGCGACGAGGGUCGCCUCGCCAGGCGACGAGGGUUUGCUUUGAGUUGCCACAUUCUGACGACGAGAAGGAGAAGAUGGUGUCAGAGGAAGAGAUCAGCCUGUCUUCCUCUUCUGGCUCCCUCCCCACAUCCAAGGAUGUCUUCCUCUUCUGGCUCCCUCCCCACAUCCAAGGAAGAUAUCAACCAAUGAUGCCAAGUCAUUGCGAGAUAUGGCAUGGAAGAAAGAUUCUCGAAUUCGUGAUGCGUAUUUGGCUUGUGAGAGUAAGGGUGAGCAUGAAAGGUUGACUACCUUCCUGAAGUUGACAUACACCAGUACAAGGUCAGGAUUGCACAUUAUCCAUAUUGCUGCAGAAAUGGCACCAGUUGCAAAGGUUGGUGGUUUAGGGGAUGUUAUCACUGGUCUUGGUAAAGCAUUGCAGAGGAAGGGACACCUAGUGGAAAUUGUCCUUCCAAAAUAUGAUUGUAUACAGUAUGAUCUUAUUGCUGAUCUGAAGGCACUGGAUGUUGUGAUAGAGUCUUAUUUUGAUGGGCAACUAUUUAGGAACAAAAUUUGGGUUGGGACUAUUGAAGGUCUGCCUGCUUAUUUAAUUGAGCCUCACCAUCCAGCCAAGUUCUUCUGGAGAGGAACAUAUUAUGGAGAGCAUGACGACUUCAAACAGUUUUCGUUUUUCAGUCGUGCUGCACUUGUGUUGCUCUAUGAAGCUGGGAAAAGGCCUGACAUAAUCCAUUGUCAUGAUUGGCAAACAACCUUGGUUGUAUGGACCAAAUCCGAUCUUCUUAAAUCGUGCUGUCUGAUGGUCAUUGAUUUCUAGUGAAAUUCAAUGGACCUUAGCUUUAUAGAUCUAUGGUUUAUUAACGUACUCAGAUUUUUUUUAAAAAAAUUUAGGCACCACUUUAUUGGGACAUAUAUGCUGCAAAGGGUUUGAAUUCAGCUAGAAUUUUCUUUACCUGCCACAACUUUGAGCAUCAAGGAACAUAUAUAUGUUGCAAAGGGUUUUUAAAGCACGGGCACUAUUUUUGUUACUUUUCUUUUUAUUUAUUUAUUAUUUUGGUAGAGUUCAUAAAAACAGGUAUCAAUCUUUCAUGCUCUUUUAUGUUUGUCAAAAUAGUCUAUAUAUCUCGUUCAAAGCUUUACCAAUUUCUUUAUAUAUGUGCCCAUCCAUUAAAUUUCAAGUAGAAUUGGAGUUAAGGUUGAUAGUUUAAAGAAGUGUGAAUAAACUCAGCUCUAUUAAGUUUGUGUAGUAUGCAUUUUCCAUAGUUGGUUUAAGUGAUAAUGAGAGGACUGAUUACCAGUGUUAUUGACAAGUAAAGUUUGUUGAUUUAUUUUGUUACUAAUGAUGUUUGCUUUGUUGGUGCACAUAUACUGUUAUGGAAACAAAAACUUUUCAUUGUUUUCUUUGGUGUUUGUAGUUAACAGUAAACGAAGAUUACUAUUAGGUGCAUAUGGAAUGAUACUUUACAUUUUUCUCAUUUGGUGACAGGUACUUGGAUUUUUAUGAAUCAAUAUAAUGGUUGAAGAUGAUCCAUCUAAUCGAGUUUUUAUUUUACAAGAUUUUGUUAGUAUUUACAAUUUAAUAUUUUGAGUGUAUUUGUAGGUUGUUUUGGAUGUAAAAGAUUUAUCAUUAGUAUUGCAUUUGUAAAUUUGACUCAAAUGAUUAUUGGAUUAAUAAAAAUAUCUAUGAGCC
Molecule: RNA transcript, 1921 nt
Organism: Zingiber officinale
Lineage: Eukaryota; Viridiplantae; Streptophyta; Magnoliopsida; Zingiberales; Zingiberaceae
Gene name: probable starch synthase 4, chloroplastic/amyloplastic
Exons: 6
Source: RefSeq, a predicted model, not a curated record